This 482-nucleotide ribosomal RNA is filed under the name uncultured bacterium. RNAcentral's name for it is "partial 16S ribosomal RNA". It matches the Rfam family "Bacterial small subunit ribosomal RNA", at positions 30 to 507 of the family's 1533-position model. The record is from RNAcentral.
AUUGAACGCUGGCGGCAUGCUUUACACAUGCAAGUCGAACGGUAACAGGCCGCAAGGUGCUGACGAGUGGCGAACGGGUGAGUAAUGCAUCGGAACGUGCCCAGUCGUGGGGGAUAACUACUCGAAAGAGUAGCUAAUACCGCAUACGAUCUAUGGAUGAAAGCGGGGGACCGUAAGGCCUCGCGCGAUUGGAGCGGCCGAUGUCAGAUUAGGUAGUUGGUGGGGUAAAGGCUCACCAAGCCAACGAUCUGUAGCUGGUCUGAGAGGACAACCAGCCACACUGGGACUGAGACACGGCCCAGACUCCUACGGGAGGCAGCAGUGGGGAAUUUUGGACAAUGGGCGCAAGCCUGAUCCAGCAAUGCCGCGUGCAGGAAGAAGGCCUUCGGGUUGUAAACUGCUUUUGUAUGGAACGAAACGGCUCUGGUUAAUACCCGGGGCUAAUGACGGUACCGUAAGAAUAAGCACCGGCUAACUACGUG